RNAcentral lists this ribosomal RNA (457 nucleotides) under Streptococcus cristatus. RNAcentral describes it as "bacterial SSU rRNA". It matches the Rfam family "Bacterial small subunit ribosomal RNA", at positions 28 to 470 of the family's 1533-position model. The record is from RNAcentral. Lineage: Bacteria; Bacillati; Bacillota; Bacilli; Lactobacillales; Streptococcaceae.
GACGAACGCUGGCGGCGUGCCUAAUACAUGCAAGUAGAACGCUGAAGGAGGAGCUUGCUCUUCUGGAUGAGUUGCGAACGGGUGAGUAACGCGUAGGUAACCUGCCUGGUAGCGGGGGAUAACUAUUGGAAACGAUAGCUAAUACCGCAUAACAUUGACUAUUGCAUGAUAGUCAAUUAAAAGGUGCAAUUGCACCACUACCAGAUGGACCUGCGCUGUAUUAGCUAGUUGGUGGGGUAACGGCUCACCAAGGCGACGAUACAUAGCCGACCUGAGAGGGUGAUCGGCCACACUGGGACUGAGACACGGCCCAGACUCCUACGGGAGGCAGCAGUAGGGAAUCUUCGGCAAUGGACGGAAGUCUGACCGAGCAACGCCGCGUGAGUGAAGAAGGUUUUCGGAUCGUAAAGCUCUGUUGUAAGAGAAGAACGAGUGUGAGAGUGAAAAGUUUCACCAC